Molecule: long non-coding RNA, 273 nt
Organism: Acanthochromis polyacanthus (spiny chromis)
Lineage: Eukaryota; Metazoa; Chordata; Actinopteri; Pomacentridae
Exons: 2
Source: RefSeq, a predicted model, not a curated record
AAAGUUUAAAAAGGCAAAAAGACAGAUAAGCUUAAGCCUUAAAUACGUCUGUGGAGAUUAUUAGUCAUCCAACACAUGGCGAACGUAGGAACUUCAGUAGAAACCAGCUGGACUUAGAGGCUCCUGAAGAACCUACAAGAGAACCAGAGGAGCCUGUAGGGGGCAGCAGACCAGAAAGGAAGGAGGUGAGAAAAAGACAGGAAGUAGGCAAGAAACAGACAGGAAGUAGAUGAGAAACAGACAGGAAGUAGGUGAGAAACAGACAGGAAGUAG